GAUGAACGCUGGCGGCGUGCUUAACACAUGCAAGUCGAGCGAAGCACUUGAACGGAUUUCUUCGGAUUGAAGUUUUUGUGACUGAGCGGCGGACGGGUGAGUAACGCGUGGGUAACCUGCCUCAUACAGGGGGAUAACAGUUAGAAAUGGCUGCUAAUACCGCAUAAGCGCACAGGACCGCAUGGUCUGGUGUGAAAAACUCCGGUGGUAUGAGAUGGACCCGCGUCUGAUUAGCUAGUUGGAGGGUACGCCACCAAGGCGACGAUCAGUAGCCGGCCUGAGAGGGUGAACGGCACAUUGGGACUGAGACACGGGCCCAGGACUCCUACGGGAGGC
RNAcentral lists this ribosomal RNA (336 nucleotides) under uncultured bacterium. Its description in RNAcentral is "bacterial SSU rRNA". It matches the Rfam family "Bacterial small subunit ribosomal RNA", at positions 28 to 349 of the family's 1533-position model. The record is from RNAcentral.